UACUUUCAACAACAAAUAUCUCAGUUCUCACAUCAAUGAAAAAUGUAGUGAAAUGUGACACUUAGUGUGAAUUGCAGAAUCCCGUGAACCAUUAUCGAGUCUUUGAAAGCAAGUUGUGCCCUAAGCCAUUAGGUUGAAGGCACGUUUGUAUGGCUGUCA
This 159-nucleotide ribosomal RNA is filed under the name Theobroma cacao (cacao). RNAcentral's name for it is "rRNA 5_8S_rRNA". It matches the Rfam family "5.8S ribosomal RNA". Rfam says of the family: 5.8S ribosomal RNA (5.8S rRNA) is a component of the large subunit of the eukaryotic ribosome. It is transcribed by RNA polymerase I as part of the 45S precursor that also contains 18S and 28S rRNA. Lineage: Eukaryota; Viridiplantae; Streptophyta; Magnoliopsida; Malvales; Malvaceae. The record is from Rfam by way of RNAcentral.